CACCCACUCUUUUAAGUUUUGGAAACACCCACUGCAUGCAGGUGAAGGCCUUGCAGCUACAGGAAGCUGUAGUUUAAUGAUUUUAAGAUGUAGGUAGUGCUUUUUAUACGCCGCCACAGUUGGCAGGUAACAACAGUAUUUUGGUCCAC
Oxyura jamaicensis (ruddy duck) is the source of this 149-nucleotide long non-coding RNA. RefSeq lists it as uncharacterized. NCBI's taxonomy places the organism in Eukaryota, Metazoa, Chordata, Aves, Anseriformes, Anatidae. The record is from RefSeq and is a predicted model, not a curated record. The transcript is spliced from 3 exons.